AGUGAACGCUGGCGGCGUGCUUAACACAUGCAAGUCGAACGAGAACGGAAUAUAGCUUGCUAUAUUUGUCAGCUAAGUGGCGCACGGGUGAGUAAUGUAUAGAUAACCUGCCCUUAAGAAAGGAAUAACAGUUGGAAACGACUGCUAAUGCCCUAUAUGCCUUUAAUACAUAAGUAUGCAAGGGAAACGCUUUAGUGCUUAAGGAUGGGUCUGUAUGGUAUCAGCUUGUUGGUGAGGUAAUGGCUCACCAAGGCUAUGACGCCUAACUGGUUUGAGAGGAUGAUCAGUCACACUCGAACUGAGACACAGUCCAGACUCCUACGGGAGGCAGCAGUGGGGAAUAUUGCACAAUGGCCGAAAGUCUGAUGCAGCAACGCCGCGUGGAGGAUGACACAUUUCGGUGCGUAAACUCCUUUUAUAUAGGAAGAUAAUGACGGUACUAUAUGAAUAAGCACCGGCUAACUCCGUGCCAGCAGCCGCCGUAA
This 485-nucleotide ribosomal RNA is filed under the name uncultured bacterium. RNAcentral describes it as "partial 16S ribosomal RNA". It matches the Rfam family "Bacterial small subunit ribosomal RNA", at positions 29 to 523 of the family's 1533-position model. The record is from RNAcentral.